RNAcentral lists this ribosomal RNA (253 nucleotides) under uncultured bacterium. RNAcentral's name for it is "partial 16S ribosomal RNA". It matches the Rfam family "Bacterial small subunit ribosomal RNA", at positions 524 to 776 of the family's 1533-position model. The record is from RNAcentral.
UACGGGGGGGGCAAGCGUUGUUCGGAAUUACUGGGCGUAAAGGGCUCGUAGGCGGCCAACUAAGUCAUACGUGAAAUCCCUCGGCUUAACCGGGGAACUGCGUCUGAUACUGGAUGGCUUGAGUUCGGGAGAGGGAUGCGGAAUUCCAGGUGUAGCGGUGAAAUGCGCAGAUAUCAGGAGGAACACCGAUGGCGAAGGCAGGUCUCUGGGCAUUAACUGACGCUGAGGAGCGAAAGCAUGGGGAGCGAACAGG